RNAcentral lists this long non-coding RNA (1098 nucleotides) under Danio rerio (zebrafish). RNAcentral's name for it is "lncRNA (ENSDARG00000117821.1)". The record is from RNAcentral. Lineage: Eukaryota; Metazoa; Chordata; Actinopteri; Cypriniformes; Danionidae.
CAUGUGACCAUUUCUAGCAAGCAAACAAACCAAAAACAGAAAGAGCAUUCAUUUACACAAAAGGCUCCAGCACAAAAUGCCUGCAGCUUCCAAAAACAUUUCAUUUGUGCAGAUUGGAUUACCAAGCUUGUCUAUGUGGAACUUUUGCAAAUCUGAAUCGGAUUACCUUUGUACUGUUUGGAUUUUACAUCCCUCCCUUACCAUUCUGGAGGAAUGGACCCACUGCCUUUAUCCUAACCGCUACUAUGGAAACCCGCAUGUAGGAUGCAAAGGAAUGAGAGUGAACAAUGAGUACAGUGACCAAUGACAAGCAGCAGAAGAAUCAUUGUAAAUGAGCCUUUUCUCCCUGUCUACUUUUCAAGAGAGCUAAAUCAACAGCGCAAAGACACCCUCAAACCCCACACGCUUCUUAAGAAGGAGAAUUCUGCAAACCUGCACUUUCGUCGCAAAAUAUAUAUCUCAGCACAACACUGCAUCAUCUCAGCAUGGCAUUUAGGAAGUUUCAGGAAAGUUCAAACGGGAGACUUCAGCAAAUCUUUUGGAACUUUGAAACGAUCGUGUCAACAAAACAUGAGCAAUGGGCUAAAAAGACCCACGUUGAGGCAUGUUUUAUCUUUCCAGGUUCAAGAGUUUGAGCUCAAGAAAAUCCCAGGAUUUUGCUUUGCUAAUAUGAAGCUACCUCGUUUGAUUUAAUUUGCUGGUUUCUUAUCACAUAGAAAACAUGCUGCUCCUGCACACACACACACACACACACACACACACACACACACAAAACAGGCUGAAGGCUGAAAGAGACCUUGUGUUAGACUGAACCUUCCACUCUGUCCGCUGGCACAAUCAAUGAACUGUUGUAUGAAGCAGAUAUAACUAAACAUUGAUCCAUAGUUUAUUGGAAAAAAUAUGCUUGGUUAAAUGGGUGUAACUUCAAGUUAGUCAAACAGCUAGAUUUAUGUAGCAAAUGCAUUAAAUCGCAUGUGUCCAAAUCGAAAUCCAUUGAUUGUGUAUUUAUUCUAAAAGGUGACUCAUUUUAUUUAUUAAUUUUACUUUCAGUUACACUUUAUUUGAAGGUGUCCUUGUUUCAGUGUAAUUAUUCAUUUA